RNAcentral lists this ribosomal RNA (253 nucleotides) under uncultured bacterium. RNAcentral's name for it is "partial 16S ribosomal RNA". It matches the Rfam family "Bacterial small subunit ribosomal RNA", at positions 524 to 776 of the family's 1533-position model. The record is from RNAcentral.
UACGUAGGGUGCGAGCGUUGUCCGGAAUUCCUGGGCGUAAAGAGCUUGUAGGUGGUUUGUCGCGUUGUUCGUGAAAUCUCACGGCUUAACUGUGAGCGUGCGGGCGAUACGGGCAGACUAGAGUACUGCAGGGGAGACUGGAAUUCCUGGUGUAGCGGUGGAAUGCGCAGAUAUCAGGAGGAACACCGGUGGCGAAGGCGGGUCUCUGGGCAGUAACUGACGCUGAGAAGCGAAAGCGUGGGGAGCGAACAGG